This 423-nucleotide RNase P RNA is filed under the name Cyclobacteriaceae bacterium YHN15. RNAcentral's name for it is "RNase P RNA component class A". It matches the Rfam family "Bacterial RNase P class A". From Rfam's summary of the family: Ribonuclease P (RNase P) is a ubiquitous endoribonuclease, found in archaea, bacteria and eukarya as well as chloroplasts and mitochondria. Its best characterised activity is the generation of mature 5'-ends of tRNAs by cleaving the 5'-leader elements of precursor-tRNAs. Lineage: Bacteria; Pseudomonadati; Bacteroidota; Cytophagia; Cytophagales; Cyclobacteriaceae. The record is from RNAcentral.
AGUGCAAGCUGACUUGUCGCUGUCCAUUACCGAAUACUUUUGGUCAUGGAGGGAGGAAAGUCCGGGCAACAUAGAGCGCCAUACUUCCUAACGGGAAGGGGUCAGGUUGGCGACGGCCUGAUCACAGACAGUGCCACAGAAAAUAUACCGUCCCGACCCGAUAGUCAUCGGGAUAAGGAUAAGGGUGAAAAGGUGGGGUAAGAGCCCACCGCCCCGAAAGUGAUGGAGGGGGCAAGGCAAACCUUAUGGGUUGAAAGAUCAAAUAGGUCCCGCAAUGAAACCUGGUUUCAUAAAAGGCUGCUCGUCUUUAUGCGGGAUGGGUAGAUCGAUGGAACCUUGGCGUGAGUCAAGGUCUAGAUAAAUGACAAGUUAAUUGUCCAAAUGGAUGGUGAACAGAACCCGGCUUACAGGCUUGCACUUUUU